Molecule: ribosomal RNA, 253 nt
Filed under: uncultured bacterium
Lineage: Bacteria
Description: partial 16S ribosomal RNA
Rfam family: Bacterial small subunit ribosomal RNA
Source: RNAcentral
GACAGAGGGUGCAAACGUUGUUCGGAAUUACUGGGCGUAAAGCGCGUGUAGGCGGCCCUGCAAGUCGGAUGUGAAAUCCCACGGCUCAACCGUGGAAGUGCAUUCGAAACUGCAGGGCUAGAGUCCUGGAGGGGAAGGUGGAAUGCUUGGUGUAGAGGUGAAAUUCGUAGAUAUCAAGCGGAACACCGGUGGCGAAGGCGGCCUUCUGGACAGUGACUGACGCUGAGACGCGAAAGCGUGGGGAGCAAACAGG